This 401-nucleotide ribosomal RNA is filed under the name Klebsiella sp. RNAcentral's name for it is "bacterial SSU rRNA". It matches the Rfam family "Bacterial small subunit ribosomal RNA", at positions 86 to 483 of the family's 1533-position model. Lineage: Bacteria; Pseudomonadati; Pseudomonadota; Gammaproteobacteria; Enterobacterales; Enterobacteriaceae. The record is from RNAcentral.
GGGUGACGAGCGGCGGACGGGUGAGUAAUGUCUGGGAAACUGCCUGAUGGAGGGGGAUAACUACUGGAAACGGUAGCUAAUACCGCAUAACGUCGCAAGACCAAAGUGGGGGACCUUCGGGCCUCAUGCCAUCAGAUGUGCCCAGAUGGGAUUAGCUAGUAGGUGGGGUAAUGGCUCACCUAGGCGACGAUCCCUAGCUGGUCUGAGAGGAUGACCAGCCACACUGGAACUGAGACACGGUCCAGACUCCUACGGGAGGCAGCAGUGGGGAAUAUUGCACAAUGGGCGCAAGCCUGAUGCAGCCAUGCCGCGUGUAUGAAGAAGGCCUUCGGGUUGUAAAGUACUUUCAGCGAGGAGGAAGGCGAUAAGGUUAAUAACCUUGUCGAUUGACGUUACUCGCA